This 150-nucleotide ribosomal RNA is filed under the name uncultured bacterium. RNAcentral's name for it is "partial 16S rRNA". It matches the Rfam family "Bacterial small subunit ribosomal RNA", at positions 355 to 514 of the family's 1533-position model. The record is from RNAcentral.
UGGGGAAUUUUCCGUCCAAAUAGGGCGGAAAAGCCUGACGGAGCAAUGCCGCGUGGAGGUGGAAGGCCCACGGGUCGUCAACUUCUUUUCUCGGAGAAGAAACAAUGACGGUAUCUGAGGAAUAAGCAUCGGCUAACUCUGUGCCAGCAG